GGGUCGAGUGAUUUGGCAUGAUCAGGUCCGCUUCUUCCAGUAAGCUCGUCAACAACUCCAAAUCACCUGAAAUCAACACAAAUAUG
RNAcentral lists this small RNA (86 nucleotides) under Arabidopsis thaliana (thale cress). RNAcentral's name for it is "ATSL041320". The record is from RNAcentral. Lineage: Eukaryota; Viridiplantae; Streptophyta; Magnoliopsida; Brassicales; Brassicaceae.